GCCAGCGUAGCUCAGUGGCAGAGCAACUCUUUUGUAAAGAGUAGGUCGUCGGUUCGAAUCCGACCGCUGGCU
Molecule: transfer RNA, 72 nt
Filed under: bacterium
Lineage: Bacteria
Description: tRNA-Thr
Rfam family: tRNA
About the family: Transfer RNA (tRNA) molecules are approximately 80 nucleotides in length. Their secondary structure includes four short double-helical elements and three loops (D, anti-codon, and T loops).
Source: RNAcentral